RNAcentral lists this ribosomal RNA (499 nucleotides) under uncultured bacterium. RNAcentral describes it as "partial 16S ribosomal RNA". It matches the Rfam family "Bacterial small subunit ribosomal RNA", at positions 28 to 507 of the family's 1533-position model. The record is from RNAcentral.
GACGAACGCUGGCGGCGUGCCUAAUACAUGCAAGUCGAGCGAAGUUUUUCUGGUGCUUGCACCGGAAAAACUUAGCGGCGAACGGGUGAGUAACACGUAAAGAACCUGCCUCAUAGACUGGGACAACUAUUGGAAACGAUAGCUAAUACCGGAUAAUAGCAUUAACUGCAUGGUUGAUGUUUAAAAGUUGGUUUUGCUAACACUAUGAGAUGGCUUUGCGGUGCAUUAGCUAGUUGGCGGGGUAAAGGCCUACCAAGGCGACGAUGCAUAGCCGACCUGAGAGGGUGAUCGGCCACACUGGGACUGAGACACGGCCCAGACUCCUACGGGAGGCAGCAGUAGGGAAUCUUCCGCAAUGGGCGAAAGCCUGACGGAGCAACGCCGCGUGAGUGAAGAAGGAUUUCGGUUCGUAAAGCUCUGUUGUUAGGGAAGAAUGAUUGUGUAGUAACUAUACACAGUAGAGACGGUACCUAACCAGAAAGCCACGGCUAACUACGUG